UGGCGUUGAUGACUAUCUUAGGACACCUUUGGAACAACCAUGAAAUAAGAGCUUGUUUUCCUGAGCCAU
Coturnix japonica (Japanese quail) is the source of this 69-nucleotide small nucleolar RNA. Its record names the gene SNORD58. It matches the Rfam family "Small nucleolar RNA SNORD58". From Rfam's summary of the family: snoRNA U58 is found in introns 1, 3 and 6 of the ribosomal protein RPL17 gene in humans. U58 is a member of the C/D class of snoRNA which contain C (UGAUGA) and D (CUGA) box motifs. The record is from Ensembl. Lineage: Eukaryota; Metazoa; Chordata; Aves; Galliformes; Phasianidae.